UCCUGAAAUUGCAAACCCGUGACAACACGGCGACGCAAAGCCAGUGCCCGGCGGCAACCGGGUCGUACGGUUUCCGAA
Molecule: non-coding RNA, 78 nt
Filed under: unclassified sequences
Description: c-di-GMP sequence
Rfam family: c-di-GMP-I riboswitch aptamer
About the family: GEMM was predicted in a large-scale screen for bacterial structured RNA regulatory elements.
Source: RNAcentral